Parasteatoda tepidariorum (common house spider) is the source of this 555-nucleotide long non-coding RNA. RefSeq lists it as uncharacterized. The record is from RefSeq and is a predicted model, not a curated record. Lineage: Eukaryota; Metazoa; Arthropoda; Arachnida; Araneae; Theridiidae.
AAUUCGAAGGAAGAAUUAUAACAAAACAAAACAGUAAUGUUUUUUUUUAUCUCUUCGCCUAAAACUUCCAUUGUUUCUAGAUGGGCAACAUUUUAAUCUACAAACAUUUCUUUAGUAAUACAUUUUCUCUUUUUAAUAGUAGAUGACUGCACUACAUCUGUUGAUGAAUGAAAUGAUGCUUGUUUGAGUUUUGUCCAGACUUUGUUUUUUUAAAGCUUUUUAGAUAUCAAGUCAUUAUGAAUAGCCAUCACAUUGCUUACUGAAGAGCGCAUCCUGGGACUUACUUGGUCGAGGGGCAGUGGUGGGAAACGUAAGAAAUCAAAAUAAGAACAAAAUAGAGCCCCCAUCAUUCAACUCUGCAGCAUCUGACAAUUAUUUCAAAGCAAGUUGAAAAUUUUCAGCAUAAUUAGAGAUGAUGGACCUUGUGCCAUUAAACACUACUUUUUCAACUCAUUUUAAUGUAACUACUGAUGAGAGAGGACUUAACAGCUAAAAGAUGACAAUUAAGCUGAAGACAAAGAUUUGCCAAUUUUUUUUUCAUAUUAUAUCAAUAUU